RNAcentral lists this ribosomal RNA (301 nucleotides) under uncultured bacterium. Its description in RNAcentral is "partial 16S ribosomal RNA". It matches the Rfam family "Bacterial small subunit ribosomal RNA", at positions 509 to 807 of the family's 1533-position model. The record is from RNAcentral.
CAGCCGCCGCGGGAAUACGGAGGGGGCUAGCGUUGUUCGGAAUUACUGGGCGUAAAGCGCACGUAGGCUGCUUUGUAAGUCAGAGGUGAAAGCCCGGGGCUCAACCCCGGAUGUGCCUUUGAGACUGCAGGGCUAGAACGUCGGAGAGGUGAGUGGAAUUCCGAGUGUAGAGGUGAAAUUCGUAGAUAUUCGGAAGAACACCAGUGGCGAAGGCGGCUCACUGGACGACUGUUGACGCUGAGGUGCGAAAGCGUGGGGAGCAAACAGGAUUAGAUACCCCCGUAGUCCCUGUCUCUUAUAC